CAGGUCGUUCCGCGAAGGUGCUGCUCCAUUCCAAGUCCAGCAAUGAGUACGGUAAUGCUGACAUGGCCCAAAGAGGGUGAAAGGCCCGUUGGGGUGGAGGUGCAGAAAUGUCAGUGCCUUCCUGGGUAGACCUUGGAGUCGGGUUGUUUGUGAAUGCAGCCCAAAGUGGGUGGUAAACUCCAUCCAAGGCUAAAUACUAACACGAGUCCGAUAGCGAACAAGUACCGUGAGGGAAAGUUGAAAAGUACUUUGAAGAGAGAGUAAACAGUGCGUGAAACCGCUCAGAGGUAAACAGGUGGAGUUGAACUGUGAGCUCUGUGAAUUUAGCUGGUGAGCAUGGUUUGAGCUUGGUCAAAUUGGUUGAUGCUCGGGGUCUGCUUAGCCGCAGGUUUCCACCUUUUGGUGGGGACGCGCGAGGCACUUAUCAAGUGUUGCGCGCCUCGGGUUAUUCGGGCCAGCUUGCCAGUGCACUUUCACAGAGUGGUCACCACGACCGGCAUUGCUGUCUGGCUGUUGCGGUUAAACCGGUCUUGCAUUGUCCUCGUGGCUUUGCUUGGUCGGGAUGGCAGGUAGCCCGUUGGCCGGCUUGUAGCUUGCUGCAGGCGUCUGGUCCUCGGGUGUAAUCAGCUGACCGUAUCAGUUCUGUGCAGUAUGUCGGAGACGGCGGCUUGUGGUGUGUGCGUGCGUUCCUGUUAGCUGGCGUGUCCGGGUUUGGUUGUUAUGUUGCCUGUGUUUGCAGGC
RNAcentral lists this ribosomal RNA (741 nucleotides) under Metagonimus yokogawai. RNAcentral's name for it is "partial large subunit ribosomal RNA". It matches the Rfam family "Eukaryotic large subunit ribosomal RNA", at positions 151 to 628 of the family's 3401-position model. Lineage: Eukaryota; Metazoa; Platyhelminthes; Trematoda; Opisthorchiida; Heterophyidae. The record is from RNAcentral.